UACAGGCUUAACACAUGCAAGUCGAGGGGCAGCAUUUCAGUUUGCUUGCAAACUGGAGAUGGCGACCGGCGCACGGGUGAGUAACACGUAUCCAACCUGCCGAUAACUCGGGGAUAGCCUUUCGAGAGAAAGAUUAAUACCCGAUGGUAUAAUUAGACCGCAUGGUCUUGUUAUUAAAGAAUUUCGGUUAUCGAUGGGGAUGCGUUCCAUUAGGCAGUUAGUGAGGUAACGGCUCACCAAACCUUCGAUGGAUAGGGGUUCUGAGAGGAAGGUCCCCCACAUUGGAACUGAGACACGGUCCAAACUCCUACGGGAGGCAGCAGUGAGGAAUAUUGGUCAAUGGGCGCAGGCCUGAACCAGCCAAGUAGCGUGAAGGAUGACUGCCCUAUGGGUUGUAAACUUCUUUUAUAUGGGAAUAAAGUUUUCCACGUGUGGAAUUUUGUAUGUACCAUAUGAAUAAGGAUCGGCUAACUCCGUGCCAGCAGCCGCGGUAAUACGGAGGAUCCGAGCGUUAUCCGGAUUUAUUGGGUUUAAAGGGAGCGUAGGUGGACAGUUAAGUCAGUUGUGAAAGUUUGCGGCUCAACCGUAAAAUUGCAGUUGAUACUGGCUGUCUUGAGUACAGUAGAGGUGGGCGGAAUUCGUGGUGUAGCGGUGAAAUGCUUAGAUAUCACGAAGAACUCCGAUUGCGAAGGCAGCUCACUGGACUGCAACUGACACUGAUGCUCGAA
RNAcentral lists this ribosomal RNA (728 nucleotides) under uncultured Bacteroidales bacterium. RNAcentral describes it as "bacterial SSU rRNA". It matches the Rfam family "Bacterial small subunit ribosomal RNA", at positions 41 to 757 of the family's 1533-position model. The record is from RNAcentral. Lineage: Bacteria; Pseudomonadati; Bacteroidota; Bacteroidia; Bacteroidales.